This 1341-nucleotide ribosomal RNA is filed under the name uncultured bacterium. RNAcentral describes it as "bacterial SSU rRNA". It matches the Rfam family "Bacterial small subunit ribosomal RNA", at positions 28 to 1381 of the family's 1533-position model. The record is from RNAcentral.
GACGAACGCUGGCGGCGUGCUUAACACACGCAAGUCGAACGGAAAGGCCUCUGCUUGCAGGGGUGCUCGAGUGGCGAACGGGUGAGUAACACGUGGGUGAUCUGCCUUGUACUCUGGGAUAAGCUUGGGAAACUGGGUCUAAUACCGGAUAGGAACUGCCUUUAGUGUGGUGGUUGGAAAGUUUUUUCGGUGCAAGAUGAGCUCGCGGCCUAUCAGCUUGUUGGUGGGGUAAUGGCCUACCAAGGCGUCGACGGGUAGCCGGCCUGAGAGGGUGUACGGCCACAUUGGGACUGAGAUACGGCCCAGACUCCUACGGGAGGCAGCAGUGGGGAAUAUUGCACAAUGGGCGGAAGCCUGAUGCAGCGACGCCGCGUGGGGGAUGACGGCCUUCGGGUUGUAAACUCCUUUCGACAGGGACGAAGCUUUUUGUGACGGUACCUGUAUAAGAAGCACCGGCUAACUACGUGCCAGCAGCCGCGGUAAUACGUAGGGUGCGAGCGUUGUCCGGAGUUACUGGGCGUAAAGAGCUCGUAGGUGGUUUGUCGCGUCGUCUGUGAAAUUCCGGGGCUUAACUCCGGGCGUGCAGGCGAUACGGGCAUAACUUGAGUGCUGUAGGGGAGACUGGAAUUCCUGGUGUAGCGGUGAAAUGCGCAGAUAUCAGGAGGAACACCGAUGGCGAAGGCAGGUCUCUGGGCAGUUACUGACGCUGAGGAGCGAAAGCAUGGGUAGCGAACAGGAUUAGAUACCCUGGUAGUCCAUGCCGUAAACGGUGGGCGCUAGGUGUAGGGGGCUUCCACGUCUUCUGUGCCGUAGCUAACGCAUUAAGCGCCCCGCCUGGGGAGUACGGCCGCAAGGCUAAAACUCAAAGGAAUUGACGGGGGCCCGCACAAGCGGCGGAGCAUGUGGAUUAAUUCGAUGCAACGCGAAGAACCUUACCUGGGCUUGACAUACACCAGAUCGCUGCAGAGAUGUAGUUUCCCUUGUGGUUGGUGUACAGGUGGUGCAUGGUUGUCGUCAGCUCGUGUCGUGAGAUGUUGGGUUAGGUCCCGCAACGAGCGCAACCCUUGUCUUAUGUUGCCAGCAUUUUAGUUGGGGACUCAUGAGAGACUGCCGGGGUUAACUCGGGGGAAGGUGGGGAUGACGUCAAAUCAUCAUGCCCCUUAUGUCCAGGGCUUCACACAUGCUACAAUGGUCGGUACAACGCGCAGCGACGCUGUGAGGUGGAGCGAAUCGCUGAAAGCCGGUCUUAGUUCGGAUUGGGGUCUGCAACUCGACCCCAUGAAGUCGGAGUCGCUAGUAAUCGUAGAUCAGCAAUGCUGCGGUGAAUACGUUCCCGGGCCU